Molecule: ribosomal RNA, 94 nt
Filed under: Comamonas sp.
Lineage: Bacteria; Pseudomonadati; Pseudomonadota; Betaproteobacteria; Burkholderiales; Comamonadaceae
Source: RNAcentral
UGGUACCACUCCUUCCCAUCCCGAACAGGACAGUGAAACGAAUUUGCGCCGAUGAUAGUGCGGGUUCCCGUGUGAAAGUAGGUCAUCGUCAGGC